GGACGAACGCUGGCGGCGUGCUUAACACAUGCAAGUCGAGCGGUAAGGCCCUUUCGGGGGUACACGAGCGGCGAACGGGUGAGUAACACGUGGGUGACCUGCCCUCAGCUCUGGGAUAAGCCUGGGAAACCGGGUCUAAUACUGGAUAUGACUCCAGUGACGCAUGUUGUGGGGUGGAAAGCCUUGUGCGGCUGAGGAUGGGCCCNCGGCCUAUCAGCUUGUUGGUGGGGUGAGGCCUACCAAGGCGACGACGGGUAGCCGGCCUGAGAGGGCGACCGGCCACACUGGGACUGAGACACGGCCCAGACUCCUACGGGAGGCAGCAGUGGGAAUCUUGCGCAAUGGGCGAAAGCCUGACGCAGCGACGCCGCGUAGAGGGAUGACGG
Molecule: ribosomal RNA, 386 nt
Filed under: uncultured bacterium
Lineage: Bacteria
Description: bacterial SSU rRNA
Rfam family: Bacterial small subunit ribosomal RNA
Source: RNAcentral